This is a long non-coding RNA of Salarias fasciatus (jewelled blenny), 116 nucleotides long. RefSeq lists it as uncharacterized. NCBI's taxonomy places the organism in Eukaryota, Metazoa, Chordata, Actinopteri, Blenniiformes, Blenniidae. The transcript has 3 exons. The record is from RefSeq and is a predicted model, not a curated record.
ACAUGUGAGGAUAUGUGAACAACAGAUGUUGAGCCAUAUUAGAGAAGGAGAGAGAGCAAGAGAGAGAGAGAGAGAGAGAGAGAGAGAGAGAGAGAGAGAGAGAGAGAGAGAGAGAG